GCCGACGGGGCGCAGCAGUAGGGAAUCUUCCACAAUGGGCGAAAGCCUGAUGGAGCAACGCCGCGUGGGUGAAGAAGGUCUUCGGAUCGUAAAACCCUGUUGUUAGAGAAGAAAGUGCGUGAGAGUAACUGUUCACGUUUCGACGGUAUCUAACCAGAAAGCCACGGCUAACUACGUGCCAGCAGCCGCGGUAAUAAGUAGGUGGCAAGCGUUAUCAGGAUUUAUUGGGCGUAAAGGGAACGCAGGCGGCCUUUUAAGUCUGCUGUGAAAGCAUUCGGCUUAAGCGGAGGAGUG
RNAcentral lists this ribosomal RNA (294 nucleotides) under uncultured bacterium. RNAcentral's name for it is "partial 16S ribosomal RNA". It matches the Rfam family "Bacterial small subunit ribosomal RNA", at positions 337 to 623 of the family's 1533-position model. The record is from RNAcentral.